UACAGAGGUCUCGAGCGUUGUUCGGAUUCAUUGGGCGUAAAGGGUGCGUAGGUGGUCAGGUAAGUCGGAUGUGAAAUCCCGGGGCUCAACCUCGGAACUGCAUUCGAUACUGCCUGACUGGAGUACUGGAGAGGAGAUUGGAAUUUACGGUGUAGCAGUGAAAUGCGUAGAUAUCGUAAGGAAGACCAGUGGCGAAGGCGGAUCUCUGGACAGUUACUGACACUGAGGCACGAAGGCCAGGGGAGCAAACGGG
Molecule: ribosomal RNA, 253 nt
Filed under: uncultured bacterium
Lineage: Bacteria
Description: partial 16S ribosomal RNA
Rfam family: Bacterial small subunit ribosomal RNA
Source: RNAcentral